ACGGGAGGCAGCAGUGGGGAAUAUUGGGCAAUGGGCGAAAGCCUGACCCAGCGACGCCGCGUGAGGGAAGACGGUCUUCGGAUUGUAAACCUCUUUCAGCAGGGAAGAAGUAAGUGACGGUACCUGCAGAAGAAGUCACGGCUAACUACGUGCCAGCAGCCGCGAUAAUACGUAGGUGGCGAGCGUUAUCCGGAAUUACUGGGUGUAAAGGGUGUGUAGGCGGGGAAGCAAGUCAGGUGUGAAAAUUUUGGGCUCAACCCAGGACGUGCACUUGAAACUGUUUUUCUUGAGAGUGGGAGAGGUAAACGGAAUUCCUGGUGUAGUAGUGAAAUGCGUAGAUAUCAGGAGGAACACCGGUGGCGAAGGCGGUUUACUGGACCACAACUGACGCUGAGACACGAAAGCGUGGGGAGCAAACAGGAUUAGAUACCCUGGUA
The sequence is a ribosomal RNA, 437 nucleotides long. It matches the Rfam family "Bacterial small subunit ribosomal RNA", at positions 341 to 792 of the family's 1533-position model.